Molecule: ribosomal RNA, 251 nt
Filed under: uncultured prokaryote
Description: partial 16S ribosomal RNA
Rfam family: Bacterial small subunit ribosomal RNA
Source: RNAcentral
ACAGAGGGUGCGAGCGUUAAUCGGAAUUACUAGGCGUAAAGCGCGCGUAGGCGGCUUUUUAAGUCGGAUGUGAAAUCCCUGGGCUCAACUUUGGAAUUGCAUUCGAUACUGGCAAGCUAGAGUAUGGGAGAGGAGGGUAGAAUUCCAGGUGUAGCGGUGAAAUGCGUAGAGAUCAGGAGGAAUACCGAUGGCGAAGGCGGCCCUCUGGACCAAUACUGACGCUGAGGUGCGAAAGCGUGGGGAGCAAACAG